This 364-nucleotide long non-coding RNA is filed under the name Lupinus angustifolius (narrow-leaved blue lupine). RNAcentral's name for it is "long non-coding RNA (LANG_LNC003406)". Lineage: Eukaryota; Viridiplantae; Streptophyta; Magnoliopsida; Fabales; Fabaceae. The record is from RNAcentral.
AAUGCACUCAUACACUUAAUGAAUAAAAGAGGAAUAAAUCCAAGCCAUAUAUGAAGUCGCUACUGUCGGCAAGGGACCCAAACGGGAUUAUCCCUUCCUCUAGUCGGAGCUCCACCACGCACGACCAGAUCCGUUCACAUCGCCGGCGUCUUCUCCACAUCCUCGGACUAAGAGAGAGGAGAAGAAGAAGAUGGAAGCAACCCCUAAGGAGGAUUUGUAUCAGCAACCAAGCCACGAUACUCAGAGCAACACCCACGACCGGUGUGGCUGGGGCGAGCCUCUCCGAUUGGAAACAAUCUCUCAUGGCCUCAUCCCUUAAUUCCUGAAUUCAUUCUCUUACAUCAAAGAGGGGGCUGCCUUGUUU